ACCUAUACAACUUUCAGCAACGGAUCUCUUGGCUCUCGCAUCGAUGAAGAACGCAGCGAAAUGCGAUAAGUAAUGUGAAUUGCAGAAUUCAGUGAAUCAUCGAAUCUUUGAACGCACCUUGCGCUCCUUGGUAUUCCGAGGAGCAUGCCUGUUUGAGUGUCAUUAAAUUCUCAACCUCACCAACUUG
This 187-nucleotide ribosomal RNA is filed under the name Coprinopsis babosiae. Its description in RNAcentral is "5.8S RNA". The stretch from base 9 to 162 matches the Rfam family "5.8S ribosomal RNA". Rfam says of the family: 5.8S ribosomal RNA (5.8S rRNA) is a component of the large subunit of the eukaryotic ribosome. It is transcribed by RNA polymerase I as part of the 45S precursor that also contains 18S and 28S rRNA. Functionally, it is thought that 5.8S rRNA may be involved in ribosome translocation. Lineage: Eukaryota; Fungi; Basidiomycota; Agaricomycetes; Agaricales; Psathyrellaceae. The record is from RNAcentral.